Molecule: ribosomal RNA, 842 nt
Filed under: Enterobacter cloacae
Lineage: Bacteria; Pseudomonadati; Pseudomonadota; Gammaproteobacteria; Enterobacterales; Enterobacteriaceae
Description: partial 23S ribosomal RNA
Rfam family: Bacterial large subunit ribosomal RNA
Source: RNAcentral
UAUAAUGGGUCAGCGACUUAUAUUCUGUAGCAAGGUUAACCGUAUAGGGGAGCCGAAGGGAAACCGAGUCUUAACUGGGCGUUAAGUUGCAGGGUAUAGACCCGAAACCCGGUGAUCUAGCCAUGGGCAGGUUGAAGGUUGGGUAACACUAACUGGAGGACCGAACCGACUAAUGUUGAAAAAUUAGCGGAUGACCUGUGGCUGGGGGUGAAAGGCCAAUCAAACCGGGAGAUAGCUGGUUCUCCCCGAAAGCUAUUUAGGUAGCGCCUCGUGAACUCAUCUUCGGGGGUAGAGCACUGUUUCGGCUAGGGGGCCAUCCCGGCUUACCAACCCGAUGCAAACUACGAAUACCGAAGAAUGUUAUCACGGGAGACACACGGCGGGUGCUAACGUCCGUCGUGAAGAGGGAAACAACCCAGACCGCCAGCUAAGGUCCCAAAGUCAUGGUUAAGUGGGAAACGAUGUGGGAAGGCCCAGACAGCCAGGAUGUUGGCUUAGAAGCAGCCAUCAUUUAAAGAAAGCGUAAUAGCUCACUGGUCGAGUCGGCCUGCGCGGAAGAUGUAACGGGGCUAAACCAUGCACCGAAGCUGCGGCAGCGACGCUUAUGCGUUGUUGGGUAGGGGAGCGUUCUGUAAGCCGUUGAAGGUGGUCUGUGAGGGCUGCUGGAGGUAUCAGAAGUGCGAAUGCUGACAUAAGUAACGAUAAAGCGGGUGAAAAGCCCGCUCGCCGGAAGACCAAGGGUUCCUGUCCAACGUUAAUCGGGGCAGGGUGAGUCGACCCCUAAGGCGAGGCCGAAAGGCGUAGUCGAUGGGAAACAGGUUAAUAUUCCUGUACUUGGUGUU